RNAcentral lists this long non-coding RNA (737 nucleotides) under Olea europaea subsp. europaea. Lineage: Eukaryota; Viridiplantae; Streptophyta; Magnoliopsida; Lamiales; Oleaceae. The record is from RNAcentral.
CAUCAAUUACAGCACCACUUCGAUAUUGUAUAUUUUUGCAAAUUAUAAGGAAGAGCAUCUAAAUGGAAGGUUCUGUUUACAUAACAUAAUUUUGAUUCCUUGAAUCAAAAAACUCUUACAUGUACAUUCAUAUACUUUAUUGUCAUAAAUUUGUUAAAAUACAGCAAGCUUAGAGAAACCCACCCAUCAAGAUUAUGAUAUUUGAAGGCUUUAAAGUUCAAAUCCCUAUGAACGAUUGAAUUCCAGUGUCACGCUAUCCAUGCCAGCUUGCACAGACUUCAUACAAUCCACUACCUAAACUCCCAAUAUUCAGCCCCUUACCCACAUUUCUUCGAAAUCAUUAUAUUGAUCCUGAAAUUGGUGGGCUUUACUCGAGUUAGAGCACAUCAUCCUCAUCCUUGCUCCAUAAAUACUUGGACCACUAGGAGAGAGAGUAUAUGACAGCAAAAUUGUGGCAAUCACAGUUGAGGGAAAGAGAGGCAGAGAUGAACCCAUGCAGCACAAUCACCAUUGCUCAAUUUCUCCUGAAGACUCUGAGGAGCCUUCCAAACAUCAAAAGCACUAUCACCACCACCACCGUAGCAAGAAAUAGACAGAGAAAACGUAUAAGAAAGCAUAUGAGGAACUGGAAGAAAGAGGAAUUGAUGAAAUCUAGGUCAAAGAUAGAAAAUUGGAGAUGAUGUUAAGAAAAACGGAGAUGAGGGUGUGGUGGUUGAGGUUCUGGUGUUGACUGGGGC